GACGAACGCUGGCGGCAUGCCUAAUACAUGCAAGUCGAGCGAACAGAUGAAGUGCUUGCACUUCUGACGUUAGCGGCGAACGGGUGAGUAACACGUAAGGAAUCUACCUAUAAGCGGGGGAUAACAUUCGGAAACGGGUGCUAAUACCGCAUAAUAUCUUCUUCCGCAUGGAAGAAGAUUGAAAGACGGCUCUGCUGUCACUUAUAGAUGACCUUGCGGUGCAUUAGUUAGUUGGUGGGGUAACGGCCUGCCAAGACGAUGAUGCAUAGCCGACCUGAGAGGGUGAUCGGCAACAUUGGGACUGAGACACGGCCCAAACUCCUACGGGAGGCAGCAGUAGGGAAUCUUCCGCAAUGGGCGAAAGCCUGACGGAGCAAUGCCGCGUGAGUGAAGAAGGCCUUCGGGUCGUAAAACUCUGUUAUAAGAGAAGAACAAAUUGUAGAGUAACUGCUACAGUCUUGACGGUAUCUUAUCAGAAAGCCACGGCUAACUACGUGCCAGCAGCCGCAGUAA
RNAcentral lists this ribosomal RNA (513 nucleotides) under uncultured bacterium. RNAcentral describes it as "partial 16S ribosomal RNA". It matches the Rfam family "Bacterial small subunit ribosomal RNA", at positions 28 to 523 of the family's 1533-position model. The record is from RNAcentral.